CUACCCGGGUAUCUAAUCCUGUUUGCUCCCCACGCUUUCGCGCCUCAGCGUCAGUUUUCGUCCAGAAAGUCGCCUUCGCCACCGGUGUUCUUCCUAAUCUCUACGCAUUUCACCGCUACACUAGGAAUUCCACUUUCCUCUCCGAUACUCCAGCUUCCCAGUUUCCAUCCCAUCACGGGGUUAAGCCCCGCACUUUUAAGAUGGACUUAGGAAGCCGCCUGCGCGCGCUUUACGCCCAAUAAUUCCGGACAACGCUUGCCACCUACGUAUUACCGCGGCUGCUGGCAC
This 288-nucleotide ribosomal RNA is filed under the name uncultured Dialister sp. RNAcentral describes it as "partial 16S ribosomal RNA". Lineage: Bacteria; Bacillati; Bacillota; Negativicutes; Veillonellales; Veillonellaceae. The record is from RNAcentral.